GAUGAACGCUGGCGGCGUGCCUAAUACAUGCAAGUCGAGCGAACGGACGAGAAGCUUGCUUCUCUGAUGUUAACGGCGGACGGGUGAGUAACACGUGGAUAACCUACCUAUAAGACUGGGAUAACUUCGGGAAACCGGAGCUAAUACCGGAUAAUAUUUUGAACCGCAUGGUUCAAAAGUAAAAGACGGUCUUGCUGUCACUUAUAGAUGGAUCCGCGCUGCAUUAGCUAGUUGGUAAGGUAACGGCUUACCAAGGCAACGAUGCAUAGCCGACCUGAGAGGGUGAUCGGCCACACUGGAACGGAGACACGGUCCAGACUCCUACGGGAGGCAGCAGUAGGGAAUCUUCCGCAAUGGGCGAAAGCCUGACGGAGCAACGCCGCGUGAGUGAUGAAGGUCUUCGGAUCGUAAAACUCUGUUAUUAGGGAAGAACAUAUGUGUAAGUAACUGUGCACAUCUUGACGGUACCUAAUCAGAAAGCCACGGCUAACUACGUG
Molecule: ribosomal RNA, 497 nt
Filed under: uncultured bacterium
Lineage: Bacteria
Description: partial 16S ribosomal RNA
Rfam family: Bacterial small subunit ribosomal RNA
Source: RNAcentral